CACGUAGGGGGCGAGCGUUGUCCGGAUUCAUUGGGCGUAAAGAGCGUGUAGGCGGCCAGGUAGGUCUGCUGUGAAAACUCGAGGCUCAACCUCGAGACGUCGGCGGAAACCAUCUGGCUAGAGUCCGGAAGAGGAGAGUGGAAUUCCUGGUGUAGCGGUGAAAUGCGCAGAUAUCAGGAAGAACACCCGUGGCGAAGGCAGCCCCCUGGGCUAACACUGACGCUCAGGCACGAAAGCGUGGGGAGCAAACAGG
This 253-nucleotide ribosomal RNA is filed under the name uncultured bacterium. RNAcentral describes it as "partial 16S ribosomal RNA". It matches the Rfam family "Bacterial small subunit ribosomal RNA", at positions 524 to 776 of the family's 1533-position model. The record is from RNAcentral.